GCUUGAGCACGUAGGUGGGUUUGUAAGUCAGGUGUGAAAGCCUUCUGUUCAACGGGAGAAUUGCAUCUGAAACUACGAAUCUUGAGUGUAGGAGGGGAGAAUGGAACUUCUGGUGGAGCGGUGAAAUGCGUAGAUAUCAGAAGGAACGCCGGCGGCGAAAGCGAUUCUCUGGCCUAUUACUGACACUCAGUGUGCAAAAGCUAGGGGAGCAAACGGGAUUAGAUACCCCGGUAGUCCUAGCCGUAAACGAUGGGCACUAAGUAGUGGGAAUUACCGAUGUUCUCUCUGCCGUAGCUAACGCAUUAAGUGCCCCGCCUGGGGAGUACGGCCGCAAGGCUAAAACUCAAAAGAAUUGACGGGGGCUCGCACAAGCGGUGGAGCAUGUGGCUUAAUUCGAUGCAACGCGAAAAACCUUACCGGGGCUUGACAUGUUAGAAGUAGGAACCUGAAAGGGUAACGAACGGUAUCCAGUCCGUAGCUAUCACAGGUGUUGCAUGGCUGUCGUCAGCUCGUGUCGUGAGACGUUGGGUUAAGUCCCCUAACGAGCGAAACCCUUGUUUUUAGUUACCAGCGGGUUGUGCCGGGUACUCUAGAAAGACUGCCGUCGUCAAGACGGAGGAAGGUGGGGAUGACGUCAAGUCAUCAUGGCCCUUAUGCCCCGGGCUGCACACGCGCUACAAUGGUCGGUACAAACGGAAGCGAAGCCGAGAGGUGAAGCGAAUCCAAGC
RNAcentral lists this ribosomal RNA (728 nucleotides) under uncultured Planctomycetota bacterium. RNAcentral's name for it is "bacterial SSU rRNA". It matches the Rfam family "Bacterial small subunit ribosomal RNA", at positions 558 to 1278 of the family's 1533-position model. Lineage: Bacteria; Pseudomonadati; Planctomycetota. The record is from RNAcentral.